RNAcentral lists this ribosomal RNA (993 nucleotides) under Gongronella hydei. Its description in RNAcentral is "Gongronella sp. MD-2020a partial large subunit ribosomal RNA". It matches the Rfam family "Eukaryotic large subunit ribosomal RNA", at positions 42 to 944 of the family's 3401-position model. Lineage: Eukaryota; Fungi; Mucoromycota; Mucoromycetes; Mucorales; Cunninghamellaceae. The record is from RNAcentral.
AUCAAUAAGCGGAGGAAAAGAAAAUAACAAUGAUUCCCCUAGUAACGGCGAGUGAAGAGGGAAAAGCUCAAGUUUGGAAGCUUCGUGGCAUAGCUACGACGCGUUGUAAACUGAAGUUUUUUGGGUGAUUGGGCGACCGGAUAAAUAAGUCCUUUGGAAAGGGGCAACAUAGAGGGUGACAUUCCCGUCUUUGGUCCGAGUCAGUGCAGUCGCUGCCCAGGAAACGACGAGUCAGGUUGUUUGGGAAUGCAGCCUAAAAUGGGAGGUAAAUCUCUCCUAAAGCUAAAUACUGGCGUAAGACCGAUAGCGAACAAGUACCGUGAGGGAAAGAUGAAAAGGACUUUGAAAAGAGGGUCAAAUAGUACGUGAAAUUGUUGAAAGGGAACCGUAUGAAAGUAGACUGGCUUGGUGAUGAUCAAUGUGUGUUUCGGCACGCAUGCACUCAUUGCCUUUGCCAGCCAGCGGCAGUUUUUGCUAAAGGAAGAAAAUCAGGGGAAUGUAGCUUCGAUUUCGGUUGAAGUGUUAUAGCUCCUGGUAAAAUACUUUGGCAGAGACUGAGGCUAGCAGCGGAUCUUUGGGAACUUUGCGCGCUUGUCGUCCAAUGGUUAAGUUUUCUUCGGAUGCUUGGUCAUUGGGUGGCAACUCGUGUGAUGCUUCACCCUUCCGCUUAGGUCGCUGGCGUAAUGCUUUUAUAUGACCCGUCUUGAAACACGGACCAAGGAGUCCACGUAUAGAGCGAGUCGUUGGGUGGCAAACCCAAAGGCGAAGUGAAAGCGAUUGGGAAGAAACUGUUACAGGUGGCACUCCCGGGGGGAUAUGACGUUUUAUACAGAUUGACCUCACCCAAAGCUCUAUGCAUGGGACCCGAAAGAUGGUGAACUAUACUUGAAUAGGGUGAAGCCAGAGGAAACUCUGGUGGAGGCUCGUAGCGAUUCUGACGUGCAAAUCGAUCGUCGAAUUUGAGUAUAGGGGCGAAAGACUAAUCGAACCAUC